AUGGGCAGUAUAAUUAUGGGCUCUUUUUAUUUUUUUCCUAGAGAUACGUUUCACUUGCCCGUCAUUAGGAGGGCUUGUUCGUGUCCCUCAGAGGUGGAGAAGGACGGAGAGGGACACCUGGUGGGAGAAGGGCAGAGAGAAGAGGCAGCUGGAAGAGGCAGAAAUGGAGACGUGUCUGAGAAUGAGAAGACCGAUUCUGCUCUCACCCUCACUGGAAUACAUCCAUCAGGCCUCAGCAAGACCACCUCUCAUUUAUACCAGCACAGCUGAGGGCAGAAUUAACCCUAGGGGUACAACUGUAUUUAUGACUCUAACAUCAUGAUGUUGUAUAAAGAAGUACAGGCCUAGUUUGAUAACAGAGACCUUGAGAAGUGGGGACAUCAUAGGAUGUGGUUUAGAAGAGUGCAGGCAUGUGAUGAUAAGAGAUGGGGUACAGGCUUGGCACUGGACGCUGAACAGCUAUAGACAACGCACCAAGGUUCAGUUAAAGAAAUGCAGACCUGGAGCUGGGCAAAAACUGUUUUCAUGGGCAACAAAAAAGAACAAAGAACAACUAUCUAACAUAUGCAAAAUGCGCCAUAUAUAGUAAAUUUGGAUGUAACAUGGAGCUGCAGAUCAGUGAAGGAAGAGUAAGGUGUAAAGGAAUGUUAGCAAAUAUAAAAAAUUACCCUAGGUGGACCCUCGAGUGAGGAAGAAGAAAGCAUCAACAUUAACAUCAUAUUCCUCCCAGUGAAGGACUCCAGAUGCUGAUGACUCGCCAUAACCCACCACCACCACCGCCACCAGAGUGAAACUAUCAAGCUCAGGACCCAAAGGAGCUGUGGAAGGGUCAGCAUAACACUGGGAUAGAAGCUAAAAAGUGUGUGAGUAACCAUUUUAACUGUAUUAUUACUAUUUUUGAGACUUUUUCUGUAAAGAAGUAUUCUUUAUUUUUCUGUUAUAGUUAGAUCUGGAAUAUUAUGAUUUUUGGAUUAGACUAUUAAGAUUUCAUUUAUGCUAACAAUAAAUUCUUGGCUUUAUGUGUAAGUAAGAAAGUA
RNAcentral lists this long non-coding RNA (1037 nucleotides) under Struthio camelus australis. RNAcentral's name for it is "lncRNA (ENSSCUG00000016099.1)". Lineage: Eukaryota; Metazoa; Chordata; Aves; Struthioniformes; Struthionidae. The record is from RNAcentral.